This 496-nucleotide ribosomal RNA is filed under the name uncultured bacterium. Its description in RNAcentral is "partial 16S ribosomal RNA". It matches the Rfam family "Bacterial small subunit ribosomal RNA", at positions 30 to 523 of the family's 1533-position model. The record is from RNAcentral.
AUUGAACGCUGGCGGGAUGCUUUACACAUGCAAGUCGAACGGUAGAGGGGGCAACCCCUCGAGAGUGGCGAACGGGUGAGUAAUAUAUCGGAACGUGCCCAGUCGUGGGGGAUAACGUAGCGAAAGUUACGCUAAUACCGCAUACGAUCUAAGGAUGAAAGCGGGGGAUCGCGAGACCUCGCGCGAUUGGAGCGGCCGAUAUCAGAUUAGGUAGUUGGUGGGGUAAAGGCUCACCAAGCCAACGAUCUGUAGCUGGUCUGAGAGGACGACCAGCCACACUGGGACUGAGACACGGCCCAGCCUCCUACGGGAGGCAGCAGUGGGGAAUUUUGGACAAUGGGCGCAAGCCUGAUCCAGCAAUGCCGCGUGCAGGAUGAAGGCCUUCGGGUUGUAAACUGCUUUUGUACGGAGCGAAACGGCUUCCACUAAUACUGGGGGCUAAUGACGGUACCGUAAGAAUAAGCACCGGCUAACUACGUGCCAGCCGCCGCCGUAA